GCGUGCGUAAGAUAGUGGCUAUUCGGUCGGGCUUCCAACCCGUACAGCGAGGGUUCGAGUCCCUCCGCCCGCACCA
This 76-nucleotide transfer RNA is filed under the name Proteus phage VTCCBPA139. Its description in RNAcentral is "tRNA-Gly". It matches the Rfam family "tRNA". Rfam says of the family: Transfer RNA (tRNA) molecules are approximately 80 nucleotides in length. Their secondary structure includes four short double-helical elements and three loops (D, anti-codon, and T loops). RNAcentral also lists the same sequence under 3 other names. The record is from RNAcentral. Lineage: Duplodnaviria; Heunggongvirae; Uroviricota; Caudoviricetes; Demerecviridae.